This 354-nucleotide ribosomal RNA is filed under the name Salmonella enterica subsp. enterica serovar Typhimurium. Its description in RNAcentral is "partial 23S ribosomal RNA". It matches the Rfam family "Bacterial large subunit ribosomal RNA", at positions 2577 to 2925 of the family's 2925-position model. Lineage: Bacteria; Pseudomonadati; Pseudomonadota; Gammaproteobacteria; Enterobacterales; Enterobacteriaceae. The record is from RNAcentral.
CUGUUCGCCAUUUAAAGUGGUACGCGAGCUGGGUUUAGAACGUCGUGAGACAGUUCGGUCCCUAUCUGCCGUGGGCGUUGGAAGAUUGAAGGGGGCUGCUCCUAGUACGAGAGGACCGGAGUGGACGAACCUCUGGUGUUCGGGUUGUGUCGCCAGACGCAUUGCCCGGUAGCUAAGUUCGGAAUCGAUAACCGCUGAAAGCAUCUAAGCGGGAAGCGAGCCUUGAGAUGAGUUCUCCCUGAUACUUUAAGUAUCCUAAAGGGUUGUCGUAGACUACGACGUUGAUAGGCAGGGUGUGUAAGCGUUGUGAGGCGUUGAGCUAACCUGUACUAAUUGCCCGUGAGGCUUAACCAU